UUAGCUUGCUAACAGGCGUCGAGUGGCGGACGGGUGAGUAACGCGUAGGAAUCUACCAAAUAGCGGGGGAUAGCCCGGAGAGAUCCGGAUUAAUACCGCAUAAUCUCUACGGAGUAAAGGGGGGCCUCUAUUUAUAAGCUUUCACUAUUUGAUGAGCCUGCGCAAGAUUAGCUUGUUGGUGAGGUAAAAGCUCACUAAGGCGACGAUCUUUAGCUGGUCUGAGAGGAUGAUCAGCCACACUGGGACUGAGACACGGCCUAGACUCC
RNAcentral lists this ribosomal RNA (266 nucleotides) under unidentified marine bacterioplankton. RNAcentral describes it as "partial 16S ribosomal RNA". It matches the Rfam family "Bacterial small subunit ribosomal RNA", at positions 75 to 339 of the family's 1533-position model. The record is from RNAcentral.